Ipomoea nil (Japanese morning glory) is the source of this 543-nucleotide long non-coding RNA. RefSeq lists it as uncharacterized. The record is from RefSeq and is a predicted model, not a curated record. The transcript is spliced from 3 exons. NCBI's taxonomy places the organism in Eukaryota, Viridiplantae, Streptophyta, Magnoliopsida, Solanales, Convolvulaceae.
AACUACACUAAAAUAUUGGGUCCAAUCAAUUAGUUAGUCUAACCCAUGACCUUAUAAACCCAUAUGUUCUCUCUUAUUUUUUCAAUGUAGGACUCUUAACAGAAUAAAGUUCAUCGUUAUGAUGGACCAUAUCUUGGUUUUGAGAUUAGCAUGUAAGGAAUACAUGUCAACCUGGAGAAGACUGAAGCAAUUCUGCCUAAGACAAUAACAAAGAUUAGGAUCUUUUACAAACUAGCAUUGUGUUAUAAGUGCCUUAUCUGGAAUUUCAAAACCAUUGCAGCACCGCUCCGUUGUUGCCUAAUGAAAGGUAUGCUCCAGUGGAGUAAAUACUAAAUACCACGAAAGCAGCUUAGGUAGAUAUAAUUAUGAAAAGUGAGAUACUUAUUAAAAGAGAAAAGGAACAGCAAAGUGAGUAACACUUUCUAAGAGACUUUGGUCAGUAUGAUUAUGAACAGUGAUAUACCAUAAUAGAGUUCACUAAAAUUAAAUAACAAGAAACAUAGCAAUGUAGAGAUAUGGCUAUAGAUUAAAUAAGUCAUAUGU